This 208-nucleotide long non-coding RNA is filed under the name Lathyrus oleraceus (garden pea). RNAcentral describes it as "Pisum sativum (pea) long non-coding RNA (PSAT_LNC014786)". The record is from RNAcentral. Lineage: Eukaryota; Viridiplantae; Streptophyta; Magnoliopsida; Fabales; Fabaceae.
GGGGUAAAUACAAACAAAAGGGAAAACAAGUGGUUUGGGUUCAGAGCCAAUAUCAUUAUUCUUUUCACUGUGUUUGUUCUACAUCUCAUUUCCAAUUCUUUUCUUUUUCAGUUUUUUAUUGCUCAGUUCUCAUUUUUUUUCUUUGAAUUUCUCUUCUUUUUUUUUCACCUGGGUAUUUCUCAUUCGGUGAGUGCUUUUCUCAUUCCAU